AUUGAACGCUGGCGGCAUGCCUUACACAUGCAAGUCGAACGGCAGCACGGGUGCUUGCACCUGGUGGCGAGUGGCGAACGGGUGAGUAAUACAUCGGAACGUACCUUAUCGUGGGGGAUAACGCAGCGAAAGCUGUGCUAAUACCGCAUAUGCCCUGAGGGGGAGAGCGGGGGAUCGCAAGACCUCGCGCGAUUAGAGCGGCCGAUGCCUGAUUAGCUUGUUGGUGGGGUAAAAGCCCACCAAGGCGACGAUCAGUAGCUGGUCUGAGAGGACGAUCAGCCACACGGGGACUGAGACACGGCCCAGACUCCUACGGGAGGCAGCAGUGGGGAAUUUUGGACAAGGGGGGCAACCCUGAUCCAGCAAUGCCGCGUGAGUGAAGAAGGCCUUCGGGUUGUAAAGCUCUUUUGUCAGGGAAGAAACACCGGCUCUAACACAGUCCGGGAAUGACGGUACCUGAAGAAUAAGCACCGGCUAACUACGUGCCAGCAGCCGCGGUAA
This 501-nucleotide ribosomal RNA is filed under the name uncultured bacterium. RNAcentral's name for it is "partial 16S ribosomal RNA". It matches the Rfam family "Bacterial small subunit ribosomal RNA", at positions 29 to 523 of the family's 1533-position model. The record is from RNAcentral.